RNAcentral lists this ribosomal RNA (725 nucleotides) under uncultured bacterium. RNAcentral's name for it is "bacterial SSU rRNA". It matches the Rfam family "Bacterial small subunit ribosomal RNA", at positions 104 to 828 of the family's 1533-position model. The record is from RNAcentral.
GGGUGCGUAACGCGUAUGCAACCUACCUGUAACAGGGGGAUAACACUGAGAAAUCGGUACUAAUACCGCAUAACACUAUGAGAGGCGUCUCUUGUGGUUGAAAGUUUCGGCGGUUACAGAUGGGCAUGCGUUGUAUUAGCUGGUUGGUAAGGUAACGGCUUACCAAGGCGACGAUACAUAGGGGGACUGAGAGGUUAACCCCCCACAUUGGUACUGAGACACGGACCAAACUCCUACGGGAGGCAGCAGUGAGGAAUAUUGGUCAAUGGACGGAAGUCUGAACCAGCCAUGCCGCGUGCAGGAAGACGGCUCUAUGAGUUGUAAACUGCUUUUGUACAAGGGUAAACCUGAAUACGUGUAUUCAGCUGAAAGUAUUGUACGAAUAAGGAUCGGCUAACUCCGUGCCAGCAGCCGCGGUAAUACGGAGGAUCCAAGCGUUAUCCGGAUUUAUUGGGUUUAAAGGGUGCGUAGGCGGAUUGAUAAGUUAGAGGUGAAAUGUCCGAGCUCAACUCGGGAACUGCCUCUAAUACUGUUGAUCUAGAGAGUAGAUGCGGUAGGCGGAAUGUAUGGUGUAGCGGUGAAAUGCUUAGAGAUCAUACAGAACACCGAUUGCGAAGGCAGCUUACCAAUCUAUAUCUGACGUUGAGGCACGAAAGCGUGGGGAGCAAACAGGAUUAGAUACCCUGGUAGUCCACGCAGUAAACGAUGAUAGCUCGUUGUCGGCG